UAUGUUGGUCAUGGUAAGGUUUUUCUAUCGGCUACAGGAAAAGUAAAUGUGCACAUGUUCUGGUCACUGAACUGUCUGAUCGAUGUGGUUGGCCAUGUCUAGUGAACGCUAAGCUUUAAGCUUUAGGUUAUGAUGUCACCAUCAACCCCACUCCUUACCCAACCCAAACAAUAAACCAUCCUAAGUUAAAGAUCCUCGUGGUUUUGGAACAAUUACUGUCACUCAUUCUUUGGUAGAAGAAAUACUUUCCGUUUUAGAGAUGGAAAAAAAUUGUAGGAAGACAGUUUUUGAAAUUGUGAAAGGCAUAGUCUAUAUCUCUUUGGUGCCUUAGGGGUGGUCAGAUGCACACUUUUAUAUAUACAUAUAUAUGCUGUAUAUAUUUAUAUAUAUUAUAUAUAAAAUAUUGAAAGCUUGGGUUCGCAGUUUCUCAAACACUAUAUAAAAGCAAACUGUCUGCCAUCACCACUGUUCUUAUUUACACAGUAAUGAUACAUUAAUGGGGCAUCUUGCUAUUUUUCAUGUUCUAUAUACAAUUCUCAUUAAGAUCAGAGAGAAAUUAGCUAGGAAGCUGUUUGAGAAGAACUUCCAUUUUUUACAAUAGGAAUUAGGAAUUACUUGAUGUUAUAGAAUUGACCUUGAGUUUGGACCUGAGCUGGAGUAGAAAGUCUGUAUCUGACGUAUCACGGGGAAUGUAGCUAGAAAGGUGAGGGAAAGAAACACUCUUUCUUUACUCCACACAAAUAUGAAAGACAAAUAUGUUUAAGCGAGGUGCUUAAAGCUUUGUCUAAGUUGAAAAAAUUAAGUACAAUUAUACCUUUACAUUUUAGUGGUUUUGAAUUGAGUUUGUUUAGUAUCUAGGCUGGGAGGCAGAGCUGGUAUUUUGUUGUUUCUCUUUUUCCCAGCUAUGCUUUUCCUGGUAGACUUGACCAAACCAUGUUACCAUGCCGUGCCUAGUUUACCUGUUUAUAAAAUGGUCUAACAAUUCCUACCUCACAGGGAUGUUGUGAGGCUACGUCCAUUUGGUCCAUUUGUUCUCUCUCUCUCUCUCUCUCUCUCUCUCUCUCUCUCUCUCUCUCUCUCUCUCCUCCCCUUCCUCCCUCCCUCCCUCCCUCCCUUGUUCUUUGUUUGUCCAGCACUUUGUAACCAUGAAAGGAAAAGGGACGUUAGGAGCAUACAGUAUUCAUGGACUAACACGGUAUCUCAAAGUUUUAUUUUCUAGUAAGGAAAUGGCAUCUGACUGUAUAUAAAUAUAACCUUGUAUUUGGAAAUGGUAAAUGGGUUUAUAUUUUCAAAUAUCUCAACAAUCACAUCAUUUGACCAAAGAAUAAUUUAAGGCACAAAGUAUAGAGAUAUUUUUAACUUAUAUUUUCGUCAACAGCUUGGUUUUAAUAACCAUAGUUCUCAGUGAAUAAAAAUCUUCAGACUGAUUUUGGCCAAAUAUGUCAACUUUGUAAUAUGAGUGACAAAGUAUCUGGGGUCUAAGACUCACUUUUAGCACACACUUGUACUUCCCUUGGCAUAUCUGGUUGAGUUAAUAGUGAUUGUUUUCUUCAGUGUAGCAGGCACCCAUCUGAAAAUAUAUUUCAAGUGAUAAUGUAUUUUGUUCAAUAAUAAGAAAUAAGAUCAUCUUGUGUCCUUUGAUCUCAUGAAGUGAUUCCUUCUCAACAACUACUAUUAAAACAUUUCUUUCAGAAUAGUUUAUAUGGUCUGGCUUAAUACACAUUACUUGUUCAUAAGGAAUCUCUCUGCUCAUGUAUUUGUCCCAUUGAUUGCUCUGUGUUAUCAAGUUUCAAAAGUACAUAGUUAUUGUAAACACUUUCUUUGAUUUGGAAAUGAGUACAGGUCUGAGAGACUGGUCAACUUUCGGAAUUUAAAGUUUGCAGAGAAUAGCUUAAAGAUUUGGAUUAUAGGCAAGAAAGAGAAAUUAUUAAUGAAAGGGGUCUUCUAAAGACCGAACCUUGGAAGACAGUCAUUUGAAGUCAUUUGAAACCUUCAUCCUGACAUCUAUUUCCAGUGGACAUCAAACAAACCUGAUCCCAUAAACUCAAAGGAGGAAGCAGGAGGUUGUUUGUAUCUGCUGCUUUGGAUAAGCGGUUUCUUGGGAUUUUGUAGGAUAACCCCUGUUAGUCGUAAGAAUGCCUGCAGCCGGUAGACCCACAGCACAACAUCUUCAUCUGAGCACUUAUUAGGAAAUAUGUGUGAAACACUAACACUCGAUUUUGUUCAUUUCUGAUUCACUUUUUAAAGGAAGAUAAGUUUAACAAGUGAUUUGGAUGAGGCUCGUAAGUCAUUUACCAGAGAAGUGUCUCAGUGCCAGAUUCAUACACUUGUGUCUCUCUGUCAAUAUACCCAGAUGAAGGCAUUAGGACUAUCAGUGUCCACAAUCCCUUCCCAAACAAGAGGCCAAUCGGAAGAGUAUAUGGCAGGUUAAAUUAAACCAGAAGUAAUGACCUAAUUACAAAAAAGGGAAUGACAAAUGAUAAUAAAGAUCUCGUAAGAAAUGUAAUAUGUAAAUUAUAUCUCGCUUGAUGAUGUAAAAUAUACAUUGUUUGUGCUAGAAUAGAAAUUAUUUCUUUUCAAUAAAAUGAAGGACUGAUAAUACCAUGCCUUUUGUUAUAAU
RNAcentral lists this long non-coding RNA (2620 nucleotides) under Rattus norvegicus (Norway rat). RNAcentral's name for it is "long non-coding RNA NONRATT008898". Lineage: Eukaryota; Metazoa; Chordata; Mammalia; Rodentia; Muridae. The record is from RNAcentral.